GUGACCUCAAAUCAGGUAGGACUACCCGCUGAACUUAAGCAUAUCAAUAAGCGGAGGAAAAGAAACUAACAAGGAUUCCCCUAGUAACUGCGAGUGAAGCGGGAAAAGCUCAAAUUUAAAAUCUGGCGGUCUUUUGGCUGUCCGAGUUGUAAUCUAGAGAAGUGUUAUCCGCGCUGGACCGUGUACAAGUCUCCUGGAAUGGAGCAUCAUAGAGGGUGAGAAUCCCGUCUUUGACAUGGACUGCCAGGGCUUUGUGAUGCGCUCUCAAAGAGUCGAGUUGUUUGGGAAUGCAGCUCAAAAUGGGUGGUAAAUUCCAUCUAAAGCUAAAUAUUGGCGAGAGACCGAUAGCGAACAAGUACCGUGAGGGAAAGAUGAAAAGAACUUUGGAAAGAGAGUUAAACAGUACGUGAAAUUGCUGAAAGGGAAACGCUUGAAGUCAGUCGCGUUGUCCAGGGAUCAACCUUGCUUUUGCUUGGUGCACUUCCUGGUUCGACGGGUCAGCAUCAAUUUUGAUCGUUGGAAAAAGGCUGGGGGAAUGUGGCAUCUCUGGAUGUGUUAUAGCCCUUGGUCACAUACAAUGGUUGGGAUUGAGGAACUCAGCACGCCGCAAGGCCGGGUUUUAAACCACGUACGUGCUUAGGAUGCUGGCAAUAUGGCUUUAAUCGACCCGUC
Molecule: ribosomal RNA, 672 nt
Filed under: Cortinarius cf. bibulus UBC F19560
Lineage: Eukaryota; Fungi; Basidiomycota; Agaricomycetes; Agaricales; Cortinariaceae
Description: eukaryotic LSU rRNA
Rfam family: Eukaryotic large subunit ribosomal RNA
Source: RNAcentral